AUUGAACGCUGGCGGCAGGCCUAACACAUGCAAGUCGAGCGGUAACACAGAGGAGCUUGCUCCUUGGGUGACGAGCGGUGGACGGGUGAGUAAUGCCUGGGGAUCUGCCCAGUCGAGGGGGAUAACUACUGGAAACGGUAGCUAAUACCGCAUACGCCCUACGGGGGAAAGCAGGGGACCUUCGGGCCUUGCGCGAUUGGAUGAACCCAGGUGGGAUUAGCUAGUUGGUGAGGUAAUGGCUCACCAAGGCGACGAUCCCUAGCUGGUCUGAGAGGAUGAUCAGCCACACUGGAACUGAGACACGGUCCAGACUCCUACGGGAGGCAGCAGUGGGGAAUAUUGCACAAUGGGGGAAACCCUGAUGCAGCCAUGCCGCGUGUGUGAAGAAGGCCUUCGGGUUGUAAAGCACUUUCAGCGAGGAGGAAAGGUUGGUAGCUAAUAACUGCCAGCUGUGACGUUACUCGCAGAAGAAGCACCGGCUAACUCCGUGCCAGCCGCCGCUG
RNAcentral lists this ribosomal RNA (503 nucleotides) under uncultured bacterium. RNAcentral describes it as "bacterial SSU rRNA". It matches the Rfam family "Bacterial small subunit ribosomal RNA", at positions 30 to 520 of the family's 1533-position model. The record is from RNAcentral.